Molecule: ribosomal RNA, 245 nt
Filed under: uncultured bacterium
Lineage: Bacteria
Description: partial small subunit ribosomal RNA
Rfam family: Bacterial small subunit ribosomal RNA
Source: RNAcentral
AGAGCGAACGCUGGCGGCAGGCUUAACACAUGCAAGUCGCACGAGAAAGUGGAGCAAUCCACGAGUAAAGUGGCGCACGGGUGAGUAACACGUGAAUAAUCUACCUCCGAGUGGGGAAUAACUGAGAGAAAUCUUAGCUAAUACCGCAUAAUACCCACGGGUCAAAGCAGCAAUGCGCUUGGAGAGGAGUUCGCGGCCGAUUAGCUAGUUGGCGGGGUAAUGGCCCACCAAGGCGAUGAUCGGUA